ACGUAGGUGGCAAGCGUUAUCCGGAAUUAUUGGGCGUAAAGCGCGCGCAGGCGGUUUCUUAAGUCUGAUGUGAAAGCCCACGGCUCAACCGUGGAGGGUCAUUGGAAACUGGGGAACUUGAGUGCAGAAGAGAAAAGCGGAAUUCCACGUGUAGCGGUGAAAUGCGUAGAUAUCUGGAGGAACACCUGCGGCGAAGGCGGGUUGCUGGGCUGACACUGACGCUGAACUGCGAAAGCUAGGGGAGCGAACGGGA
This 253-nucleotide ribosomal RNA is filed under the name uncultured prokaryote. RNAcentral's name for it is "partial 16S ribosomal RNA". It matches the Rfam family "Bacterial small subunit ribosomal RNA", at positions 525 to 777 of the family's 1533-position model. The record is from RNAcentral.